AUGAAAGGCUGGAAACCUAAGCUGUUGGCACCGGCUAGUAGACUUGCUUUGACAAGUUCGGUGUUAAUGGCCUUACCUAUCCAUUUUCUGUCAGUCUUCCCUCUACCGGUUUGGGCACUCAAGAUGAUUGACAGGAGAUGUAGAAGCUUUCUGUGGAAAGGUGAGGAGGACAUCAAUGGAGGGCAUUGUUUGGUCCCUUGGGCCAGAGUCUGCAGACCAAAAGAAUGGGGAGGGCUCGGCCUUCUCAAUCUGAAGAACUUUGGGACUGCUCUGAGAUGCCGUUGGCUUUGGCUGGGCUGGAGUCAGGGGAACCGUCCAUGGCAAUUGCUUCCGGAUCAGCAGGACAAGGAUGCAGCUGCAAUGUUCGACGCGGCAUGCCGAGUGGUGCUGGGGAAUGGGGAGACAACAAGAUUCUGGUCAGACAACUGGGCUCCAGGGGGCCGGAUUAUCGCAGUCUUGGCCCCCGCUCUGUUUUCAUUCGUGAAAGACUCCAAUCUGUCAGUUAAGGAUGCUUUGCACAAUAGAAGGUGGAUCAAGGACAUCAAAGGCGGCCUGACAACACAGGCCUUGUCGCAAUACUUAUUGGUGUGGGAUAUUGCUCAUGCCACCACUUUAUCUGCUGCAACGGAGGAUCAACUCCUGUGGAAGUUGACGGAAAACCACCAGUUCACGGUGAACAGCGCUUACAGGAUGUUCUUCACGGCCGGAGUCAGCUUUGCCUGUAACAAGCCCAUUUGGAAGACCAAAGCUCCGGCUCGCUGCAAGUUCUUCAUGUGGCUGGUUAUACAGAGGAAGUUCCUGACGGCGGAUAACAUACUGCGAUGCGGGUGGCCGUUCAAUGACCACUGUCCGCUCUGCCUAAUGUUUCCAGAGGACUGCUCGCACCUAUUCCUGCUCUGCCGCUUCACGCAACAGCUCUGGACGGCGUUCCAGCAAUGGUCGGGCGUCAGUUUCCCAAUGCCAAACAGCAGCUCCGGAAGCACUGAGGCCUGGUGGCUGGAGGCGAGAAGGGCUAUUCCGAAGCAUUUGCGCCGGAACUUCGACACCAUGGUCAUCCUGAUACACUGGAGGGUCUGGAGGGAGCGGAACGCUAGAAUUUUUCAGCAAAUGGCGUGUGACGUUGAUCGAGUACUAGACCUCAUCAGAGAGGACAUAGGUGUAUGGAGAUCGGCAGGAUGUGUGUCCGAUCUGGUGAGUUAG
RNAcentral lists this ribosomal RNA (1200 nucleotides) under Triticum aestivum (bread wheat). RNAcentral's name for it is "partial small subunit ribosomal RNA". The record is from RNAcentral. Lineage: Eukaryota; Viridiplantae; Streptophyta; Magnoliopsida; Poales; Poaceae.